This 337-nucleotide unclassified non-coding RNA is filed under the name soil metagenome. RNAcentral's name for it is "partial contains 5.8S ribosomal RNA, internal transcribed spacer 2, and large subunit ribosomal RNA". The stretch from base 1 to 121 matches the Rfam family "5.8S ribosomal RNA", at positions 35 to 154 of the family's 154-position model. The record is from RNAcentral.
GAUGAAGAACGUAGCGAAAUGCGAUAAGUAAUGCGAAUUGCAGAAUUUCCGUGAGUCAUCGAAUCUUUGAACGCACAUUGCGCCCAUUGGUAUUCCGAUGGGCAUGCCUGUUCGAGCGUCAUUUGAACCUUCAAGCUUUGCUUGGUGUUGGGUGUUUGUCUCGCCUUUGCGUGUAGACUCGCCUUAAAAUAAUUGGCAGCCGGCGUAUUGAUUUCGGAGCGCAGUACAUCUCGCGCUUUGCACUCAUAACGACAGCGUCCAAAAGUACAUUUUACACUCUUGACCUCGGAUCAGGUAGGGAUACCCGCUGAACUUAAGCAUAUCAAUAAGCGGAGGA